CCUCAGCCCUAACACCCCUCAGCCCUAACACCCCUCAGCCCUAACACCCCUCAGCCCUAACACCCCUCAGCCCUAACACCCCUCAGCCCUAACACCUAAGUGUACCUUAAAUGUCCCAUGCCCAAGCGAGGGAGAGUGAUGUUUGGAGAGGGAACAUCCUUGGUGGAAAUCUGAAGUUGAGCUAAAAAACAACCAACCUAAAGCUACUAAUAUACCUAGUAAGCUAACGUAUCUAGCCAGCACUCCUGUCAGGUAGCUAGCUACAGUAUUAAAUGUACCUAGUAAGCUAACGUAUCUAGCCAGCACUCCUGUCAGGUAGCUAGCUACAGUAUUAAAUGUACCUAGUAAGCUAACGUAUCUAGCCAGCACUCCUGUCAGGUAGCUAGCUACAGUAUUAAAUGUACCUAGUAAGCUAACGUAUCUAGCCAGCACUCCUGUCAGGUAGCUAGCUACAGUAUUAAAUGUACCUAGUAAGCUAACGUAUCUAGCCAGCACUCCUGUCAGGUAGCUAGCUACAGUAUUAAAUGUACCUAGUAAGCUAACGUAUCUAGCCAGCACUCCUGUCAGGUAGCUAGCUACAGUAUUAAAUGUACCUAGUAAGCUAACGUAUAUAGCCAGCACUC
This is a long non-coding RNA of Oncorhynchus keta (chum salmon), 623 nucleotides long. RefSeq lists it as uncharacterized. Lineage: Eukaryota; Metazoa; Chordata; Actinopteri; Salmoniformes; Salmonidae. The transcript is spliced from 3 exons. The record is from RefSeq and is a predicted model, not a curated record.